RNAcentral lists this transfer RNA (32 nucleotides) under Spatula clypeata (Northern shoveler). RNAcentral's name for it is "Anas clypeata (Northern shoveler) partial tRNA-Trp". RNAcentral also lists the same sequence under 6 other names. Lineage: Eukaryota; Metazoa; Chordata; Aves; Anseriformes; Anatidae. The record is from RNAcentral.
AAACUUAGGAUAAUCACCCCCUUAAACCGAAG